AGGUGUGCAACCAUCCAGAGAGCUGUCGGGAUGCAGCAGAGCGGAGCGGGUGGAGGCCGUGGCUGCGCUCUGCUGCCACUGCUGGGCGUCCUGCUCUUCCAGGGCGUUUACAUCGCCCUUUCCUUGGAGAUUAAAGCGGAUGCGCAUGUCCGGGGUUACGUUGGAGAGAAGAUCAAGUUGAAAUGCACCUUCAGGUCGACUUCAUCUAUCACUGACAAACUCACCAUAGACUGGACGUACCGACCCCCCAGCAGCAGUCGUACUGAAUCCAUUUUUCAUUAUCAGUCUUUCCAGUAUCCAACCACAGCAGGCACGUUUCGGGAUCGAAUUUCCUGGGCUGGAGAUGUGUACAGAGGGGAUGCGUCUAUAAGCAUCAGCAACCCUACCCUCAAGGACAAUGGGACAUUCAGCUGUGCCGUGAAGAAUCCCCCAGACGUGCACCAUAACAUUCCCGUGACAGAGCUAACAGUCACAGAGAGGGGGUUUGGCAUCAUGCUCUCCUCUGUGGCCCUCCUCUCCGUCCUUGUCUUCGUCCCCUCAGCUGUGGUGGUUGUCCUGCUGCUGGUGAGGAUGGGGAGGAAAUCAGCUGGGCUGAAGAAGAGGAACAAGUCUGGCUACAAGAAGUCGUCUAUUGAGGUGUCAGAUGAGCCAAGUUUAGUUCUGCCGAGGAGUACCAGAGGGAAGGUUGGAGGUGAAACUGGUGGAUAUUAAUUCGGAGAGAGAGGUGGAGGGGUGAACAGUAUGGUCCUACUCUCUCCUUUGGAAAUCAGAGUAGACUCUGCUAUGGUUCUGCGUAUACAUCCCCAAGGAGAUCACAUUCCUUCCAACUUACCAGGAAAUUCCAACAAGUCGGUUAUUUUUCCCUUCUUGUUUCGACACCAAGCUGAUGUCUCCUGACAGAAAAUGCCUAAGCAGUGAGGAAGGCCUUAAGAAUAAUAGCCUCAGACGGCAAAAACCGAUUUAAAGCAGCAAGAUCUGUUCUUGGUCAGCAGAUGCUCUGAGGGGCUAAUGGGAUUGUGAUUAUCCAAUCACAUUUAUGAAACGUCAUGUUGCCAGUGAGCAGGCAUGAUCCAGUAUUUUCUCUAAGAAUAAAUCUGCUUAAAAAAAGCACUGACCAGGAGGAGGCGGACGACUGCAUGGCGAGGCUUUGUGUUCGUUGCGCCGAGUGCCUGGAUUCAGACUAUGAAGAGACAUAUUGAUGAAAGGCUUCAUGAUGUAAGGAGAGUCACCUGAUAGAAAAUAUCCUGUCCCACUGGCAGCUAAAGCCUCUCAGAGAAUCGAAGCUGCUUGGAUCGCUGUGCCGGAGGAUUCUGGAAGCCAUCCGUAGAGACGUUAGGAACCAUUUAUUUAUUGAACAACUGUUCUUUUUAUAUUUAUGAACUGUUCAAGAACUCCCAGAAGAAACUCCUACCUACCCCUUCUAAUAACUUAUGCUCUAAUUGAAUGAAGGAAUUCUCUUCCUGAAUAGAAAGAAACUUUUUGUUUUUGCCUUUGCCCUUGAACGUGUUACGUGCUUUCUUCUGGUUACUUGAGGGAAAAUCCUAAAUGUUGGCCACACCGCUGAGGCCAAAAUAUUUUUAAAAAAUGAAAUGGAGCUUGUAGUGUCCAGAUGUGCGACGAGACGAGAUGUUUGGGAUAAGUAUUCUUUGGCAUUUGCUCCGUGAAUGUUUUCAGCUGCGGAUCAGCGCACAGCAUGUACUCAUUGGUUUAAUGACAUCGUCCGUUGUGUUUGGGUGACUCGGAACUCUAAUUUCCGUAGAGUCGGUAGGGCCCGGAGCCCAUGGUUUGCUUUGACUGGGCUUUUAAAGUAUUAAAGUGUCGUCAGUGUCCAAUUAAGGAAAGGAACGGUGACGUAGAGGGACCCCUUUCUUUUGUGUUGCUAGGUGCAGCUUCGAAAGGUUUUUUUUUGUGGCGAAAUGUAUAGAAUAUUUUAUCAGUUAUUUGCAAGGAAAUCAUCUUUUUUUUUUUUUUUUUUUAACAAAUGCCACUCCAGAGUUCAAAUGUUGGAUUUACUUUAACGAGGCUUAUGUUUAUCGGAAAUCAUCUUUUGACCUUUGUUAUUCUUCAGAACUUUUUUGAGUUCUAAAAUGCGCCAAAUAUGAGUGAACCAAGGCAUUUGCAAACUGUUUUUGUUUAUGUCGUAUUUGACAUAAGGAAGUGAGGUCUAUACUUCUCUAUAGUCUAUACUUCUCAUUUCUAUUCUCUCAGUACCUUAUGUCAGCUUCCUCCAUUUUCCUGCAGCAACUGAUUUCAAAUUUUAAUUUACAUGGGAUUUUCUACAAGCCAUUAAGUAAUACGUGUGACAUGUCCGGAAGGGCUGAUAGUAUAGUCUUCUGUAAAAGAGCGAUAGAGUUCACUUCUCGAUUAUGAGAGACAGAAAUUAUCCUCCCUCCUCCCAUCUUUGUUUUUUGUUUUGUUUUGUUUUGUUUUCCCAUGGUUCUUCACUAGGUGGCUAGGGAGGUUUCCAUAUUAUAGCCUAAUACGCCCCAUAUGUUACACAAAAAAUCACUUUGCCCAGAUUUAUGUUUAAAAUUUUGGGUCAUUAGUUCUGGAAGUCAUCAGUAAAGCCUUUAAGAAUUAUGAUAUGGGUUUGGCCUGGCCUCUUUUGUUAAUCUAGUCCAUACAUAAGAGAGUCUGGUUCAUUAACAGAUAUUACGAUUUACCUCUGGUCACAUAAGGAAGUGAAAGAGGCAAAGACACAUUGACUGUUUAUUUCCAGUGGUUGAGCCUCAGAGUCUUGGGCUGUUUGUCAAGUAUAUGGUUGUCUGGGGCCAGCCUGGUGACAGACACUCUGACACCACAGCAGAGAGGGGAAAACAUAUUUGAGCAACAAGAGUAAAUAAUUUGGGUUCUGGGAGAUUUGAAGAUAGAGACCCAAUUGUGGGGUAGACUUUUUGUGGGUCUGAGAAAGAGAUGAUGUGACAGGAACCCAGUUAAAACCGCAUUUCAUGAAUUGAGGAACCGGGUUUGCCUGGGGUUUCUUGUAAUUUCCUUUCAGGUGUGUUAUGAGGAUUAAUCCAGUUGUAGUAAGCUUGUCACUGUAGGUAAAGGGUGCUGUGUGACCACUUGGUCAUGUUAUUUUGUAGCCUCGAUUGUGAUUUGAACAAGUCCCUUUCUUUUUAAGUGACCAAACAACAGCAUCCUUCGUGGUAAGAGAGUAGACUGGGGAUUUAGUCGUCUCCGUGGGUUUAUGGUCGCACCAGUCAUAAGGCUUCUGUCAGCGUUCUUCUUUAUCUCUUACAUUGAGGUCUGGGUUACAGCCUUCCCCCCACCCCCAAAAGGAGCAAAAAGCAGUUCCUUUUUUUUUUAAAGAUGGAAGAAAGAUAACUUUUUUUUUUUAAACGUACUCUUUUUAAUACCUUCUAAGGUGCUAUUCUCCCUCUCUCUCGUUUUCUUUUCGCUGCUCUGUAUGCAGAGCACAUCGAAUGAAGACCAGCCUUGUCUAGAAAGGGAAUUGAAUUCUGAAAGCUUCAGAGGGGGUUAAAAGCCUUUCAGAAUUUUUCUUUAGCUGCCGGAGGCUUUCCUCGUGGCUGCACUAUCUUACAAGUUUCGUGCAUUGAGCUCUCAAUUCCGUUAGCGAAUGUGAAUUUAUGAAAUGCUUUGUGUUUCCCACGGGUCCCCUUGCCCCAGGCUGCGUGGAGAAGGUACUAGGUCUCCGCAACUCCCAAAUCGUGCGCUGGUGUUUCAAGAGGGAAUGUUGAAUGUUCCUGUUUAAGGAGAAUGUCCGGAGGCCAAAUCCUCGAUCUGAACGUUCUGUCGUGUCACUCAGUUACGGUUCUAAAAGGGAGCCGGGAAGACCCCCGGAGAGCGGACCAAGACUGUCAUUUAAUUGCACAACUGGAAACUUCGCUGCCAGAAGAGGCAUCUCCAUUCGUUCGAUUCCUGCUUUGGACUGUUGUUAACCGCUGCAUUUCACAGUGGUUUUUUUUGUUGUUUUGUUUUGUUUUGCGGGAGAGUGUGCACCGUUGGGCCAUGUGCACAGACGUUGUACCUCUUGAUACCUUUACCACAUCACAGUUAAUAAACUGCUUUGCACUUUCUGGCUA
This is an RNA transcript of Lynx canadensis (Canada lynx), 4046 nucleotides long. It is a transcript of the gene named myelin protein zero like 3, with no coding region annotated. NCBI's taxonomy places the organism in Eukaryota, Metazoa, Chordata, Mammalia, Carnivora, Felidae. The transcript is spliced from 7 exons. The record is from RefSeq and is a predicted model, not a curated record.